This 377-nucleotide ribosomal RNA is filed under the name uncultured bacterium. RNAcentral describes it as "bacterial SSU rRNA". It matches the Rfam family "Bacterial small subunit ribosomal RNA", at positions 523 to 898 of the family's 1533-position model. The record is from RNAcentral.
AUACGUAGGUGGCAAGCGUUGUCCGGAUUUAUUGGGCGUAAAGGGAGCGCAGGCGGUGACUUAAGUCUGAUGUGAAAGCCCACGGCUCAACCGUGGAAGGUCAUUGGAAGCUGGGUCACUUGAGUGCAGAAGAGGAAAGUGGAAUUCCAUGUGUAGCGGUGAAAUGCGUAGAUAUAUGGAGGAACACCAGUGGCGAAGGCGACUUUCUGGUCUGUAACUGACGCUGAGGCUCGAAAGCGUGGGGAGCAAACAGGAUUAGAUACCCUGGUAGUCCACGCCGUAAACGAUGAGUGCUAAGUGUUGGAGGGUUUCCACCCUUCAGUGCUGGAGUUAACGCAAUAAGCACUCCGCCUGGGGAGUACGGUCGCAAGACUGAA